This is a long non-coding RNA of Octopus sinensis (East Asian common octopus), 155 nucleotides long. RefSeq lists it as uncharacterized. The transcript is spliced from 3 exons. The record is from RefSeq and is a predicted model, not a curated record. Lineage: Eukaryota; Metazoa; Mollusca; Cephalopoda; Octopoda; Octopodidae.
UUUAAUCUGACCAUAUCCAGCCUAAAUAUUCUAAAUGUUUGAUGUUCAAACUGGCCAGAACUAGUAUCUCACACCUACUCUGAAAUGUCAUUCAAAAAAUAAACAAUUACGUCUUUCAAAUCUUGAAGCUACAAGAUAAUACCAGAUUGAUUUUU